UUCCACGGCAGAGAACAGACCUUCAGGUGUAC
This 32-nucleotide non-coding RNA is filed under the name Mus musculus (house mouse). Lineage: Eukaryota; Metazoa; Chordata; Mammalia; Rodentia; Muridae. The record is from RNAcentral.